RNAcentral lists this long non-coding RNA (2905 nucleotides) under Capsicum annuum. Its description in RNAcentral is "long non-coding RNA (CANN_LNC006162)". The record is from RNAcentral. Lineage: Eukaryota; Viridiplantae; Streptophyta; Magnoliopsida; Solanales; Solanaceae.
CUUUGUACAGAGGGGAAAUGACACCCUCAAAGCAUCUAAGGUUUCUUUCUAUCCAACUCCAAAAAUGGCAUGCUGGUACCCUUUUUUUCUUCCACCCCAGCUGAUAUAUGCUUCUCAUGGAAUAGUCAAUACCCAGCUCAUCCCAAAAAGGUUAAGAAUAUACUCCCCAGUCUCGGGUAGCUUAAUAAUGGAGGAUAGACGGUUGAUGUUUUCUGAUUCUUAGACACAUGUAGCCCCUGCUGCAUAGUACAGUUCCCCUUUUGGCAACGUUAUCGUGAGUCGAGCAAGCAUCCUGGACUAGCAACCAGCUGAAACAGGAUGUCUUGUUGGAAUUUUGAGAUUUCUAGGCCAGUCUCCAGGGUCACACUUCAGAAAUGUUGUUGUUGGGGCAGAUCUUCUUGUAACAAGAUUUAACAAAAUAUGGACCAUCCUGGCUGAAACUCCAAACUAAUCUGUCCUUUUUAGAAGUGCCGAUUGAGAACCCUUGCAAUCUAUUUAGAGGAACUCCCAGCUCACCCACCUCCGAGUCUUGAAAAUUCCUUCUCAAGUGCAAAUUCCAAGAAUUCUCUUCCCUGCAUUGGCUAACUGUGGCUUGGGACAGCACAUUUAACUGGUAGUCUUGGGAAAUUUUCCUGUAAAGUAGUAAAGUACUAUUCCCCAGACAUACUCUAAAUUAGCUAUGCUCAGGAAAAUCCUCCCAGAGUCGGCUUAUGUUUCGGUGGCAAUACCAUAAGAGUCACAACUCACAAGAUACUUAGUGUGCCAGAAGUCUUGCUCCCCAUGUUUAAUUUUAAUAAUCUAUCUCCAGAAAGAAUCUUCCUCAUUGCAAUACCUCCAGAACCAUAACAGGAGCAAACAUUUAUUAUGAACAGGCGGAUCUCUUGAUCCUAGGCCCCCACACUGUCUAGGCUUAAUACUUUGCUCCAACUGACCAGAUGAUAUUUGUGCUGAGUGCUACUACCCUCCAAAAGAAAGUUCCUUCUUUAACGGGGUUAAAAGGUCUUAAUCAUCUAGAAAGUCCAGCAAUACUUGGUGUUCUUGCAUAAUCAAGGAGAUAUAGAAGUAACCGAUAAUCCCUUUAACAACAAAUUUUCUUUAACAUUUUCAACAACAACAACAACAACAAACCCAGUGUAUUCCCACUUUGUGGGGUCUGGGGGGGUAAGAUGUACGCAGUCCAUACCUCUACCUCUGAUGAAGUAGAAAGGCUGUUUCCGAAAGACCCCCGGCUCAAGUUACGAGAUAUCAAACAAACACAUAGUACAGCACAGAAGCAGAUGACAUAACAUAGAUACUGCAGCCAUAAGGAAUAUAAAACAGAGUAAAGCAGGAAAGCAGGAAUAUAAAGCAGAGGAAAGCACACAGAUUCGUAACAAACAUAGAACACGGAACACGGAACAGAACAUUGAAUACGGAAUCAUACCAGGAAUACACCCCCACCAAUUACCUCCCUACAUUAGCGACCCGAACAGGCCCUAAUCCUCUGCCGUAAUUCGCGUCUUCCAGACCUUCCUAUCUAGGGUCAUGUCCUCGGUAAGCUGUAACUGUUCCAUGUCCCGCCUAAUCACCUCACCCCAGUACUUCUUCGGUCUACCCCUACCCCGUCUAAAACCAUCCAACGCUAGCCUCUCACACCUACGGACCGGGGCAUCCAUGCCCCUCCUCUUCACGUGUCCGAACCAUCUCAAUCGUGCUUCCCGCAUCUUACACUCCACUGAAGUCACCCCAACCUUCUCCCGGAUAGUCUCAUUCCGAGCUCUAUCCCUUCGGGUCAGUCCACACAUCCAGCGCAACAUCCGCAUUUCUGCCACCUUCAUUCUUUGGGUGUGGGAGUUCUUAACUGGCCAACACUCCGCUCCAUACAGCAAGGCCGGACGGACUACCACCCUAUAGAAUUUACCUUUAAGCUUGGGCGGCACCUUCUUAUCACACAGCACCCCCGAUGCAAGUUUCCACUUCAUCCAUCCCGCCCCGAUACGGUGCGAGACAUCCUCGUCAAUCUCACCGUUACUCUGGAUCACGGACCCGAGGUACUUGAACUUAUCCCUUUUCUUUACCUCCUGCGCUUCUAGCCUCACCACUACCUCAUUCUCUCGCCUUACGUCAUUAAACUUACAUUCCACAUACUCUGUCUUGGUUCUGCUCACCCUGAACCCUUUAGACUCCAGAGUUUGCCUCCACAGCUCUAAUUUGUCGUUCACACCCCCUCGCGUCUCAUCUAUCAGGACUACAUCGUCUGCAAAAAGCAUACACCACGGCACCUCCCCUUGGAUACGCCGCGUUAACACAUCCAUUACUAGCGCAAACAAAAAGGGACUAAGAGUAGAUCCCUGAUGCAAUCCUGUCAGGACAGUGAAAUGCUCUGAGUCUCCUCCCGCCGUCCUCACCUGGGUUUUCGCUCCCUCAUACAUAUCCUUAAUUACUCUGCUAUAUGCCUGCGGUACUCCACUCACCUCCAAGCAUCUCCAAAGCACCUCCCUGGGGACUUUGUCGUACGCCUUUUCUAGGUCGAUGAACACCAUGUGCAAAUCCUUCUUCCUUUCCCUAUAUUGCUCCACCAACCGCCGUACCAGGUGAAUUGCCUCCGUCGUCGAGCGGCCGGGCAUAAAUCCGAACUGAUUUUCCGAGAUAGACACUAUCCGUCUCAGCCUCACCUCGACCACUCUCUCCCAGAUCUUCAUAGAGUGACUCAGUAACUUAAUCCCCCUAUAGUUAACAUUUUGGAAACGAAAAAUAUUUCAAAUCUCUGAAUAUUUCUUUCAAAUGAUGAUUGAUUCAUGUCUUAACAUUCUUCCAGAAUUUGAUUAAUUUCACUAUCAUAGAGCAUAACGUGACAACCAUUAUCGAACAGGGUAGUUUAUCAUAAUAUCUACUUCUGAGGUGAAGCUGAAAUAAUGAGGAACAC